UUGCUGUUUGUUUUCUCUUCAAAUGCGCCAUAAAUAUCAACAGAUGCAUUUAAUACUACGGCCAGCACAUACUCGAGUUUGGUCGCGCUUUUCUACCCUGUCGGGAGAGAUACGACGUUGUGUUUCUACUUUCUAGUCGAGAUCUGACAGUUAAAGUUAUGUAUCCAGCACAACGAAUAAACGCCUGCCCAGUGCUUGCUGGCAUCAGAGCAAAUGCUUAUAUGGAGCCAUUUUUAAAACUGAGUAUUCAGAUGUGGCGAUUUUCAAGGUUUCACUUCGACUGGAAUUGGUUGCAACUUAUCACUUUUGGCUAGAAGAUGGUUGAUAGCUUUGGUGACAGCAGCUGGAAGACCCUCGGGAUUCUCAACUCUACAAAUAAAUUUGGGAAUAUAGAUUACAGAGUCGAAAAGAGCUAUGCCAGUAGCAGCACAAAGUAUUACAGAACUCACUUGAACGUGCACUCGAUGUAUCGUGUAAUGAGUUCCUCCGUGAUACCAGCUUCAUUUGGAGCAUCUCCCACUUCCCUGAUGGCAAACUUCACCGCUCGACGCACUUCAGAAUCGCUCUUAACCGUGAAUUUACGCAGCUUACGGAGAUUCUCCGUAUCUUUGUAGGACUCUUUACCGUUACUGUACACCAUGAACAUGUGUCCAUCCCGGAUGGCAUACUGCAGCUGCUGUUGGACGAAGCCAGAUCUGGUCCCCUUCCGGACAUGUUUGAGUGCCUGGCAGAGACGGUCGAAACUGGGCCGUUGUUUCUGGCCUUUAAUCUUGCCAAUGGCUUCUUUGAAGAGCGCCAGGAACUCGUGAUCGACAUGUCCGUCGCCUAUGCCCUCCUCCGAUAUGACAAUGGAGCUCCCCGAUGCAGCUGCUGAUGCAGGUGACGGAAUAGGCGAGGGGGAUGGUGAACGGGAUGAGGAUGAUUCGGAAGAAGUCAUCGCAUUGUUCACCACAUACGCGAGCAGCGCUGUGGAGCAGUCCGUAUCGACAUUGCCCCCGCGGAUAGCUGUCUGCGCUGUCCUCACGGAUUACUUUCAAGUUCACCAAAGGGAUAACUACUUAUUGAGUGUCUAUGAAGUUUCCUCUUUUAGGGCAAUCACAACAUAAUCAACAAUCUCACGUUCAGCAGUUCGUGAUUAUCCUCAGUUAUGUGCAAAAGAAAGACCCAUCAUCAAGUUGUAUCUUGAAUAAAGGCAAAGGCCCCGAAAUAGGAAUACUUCACUUUACAAAUUCAACCCAUUUCUAUAAACGUAGAGAAACAGUUUU
Long non-coding RNA from Paramacrobiotus metropolitanus, 1265 nucleotides. RefSeq lists it as uncharacterized. The transcript is spliced from 3 exons. Lineage: Eukaryota; Metazoa; Tardigrada; Eutardigrada; Parachela; Macrobiotidae. The record is from RefSeq and is a predicted model, not a curated record.